GUGUCAGCCGCCGCGGUAAUACGGAAGGUGCAAGCGUUAUCCGGAAUCACUGGGUUUAAAGGGUGCGUAGGCGGCUGGAUAAGUCAGAGGUGAAAGUCUGCGGCUUAACCGUAGAAUUGCCUUUGAUACUGUUCAGCUUGAGUCAGGUUGAGGUCGGCGGAAUGUGGCAUGUAACGGUGAAAUGUGUAGAUAUGCCAUAGAACACCGAUUGCGAAGGCAGCUGACUGGACCUUGACUGACGCUGAGGCACGAAAGCGUGGGGAGCGAACAGGAUUAGAUACCCUGGUAGUCCACGCCCUAAACGAUGCUCACUCGAUAUCCGGCCCUUGCGGCUGGGUGUCCAAGGGAAACCGUUAAGUGAGCCACCUGGGGAGUACGGCCGCAAGGUUGAAACUUAAAUGAAUUGACGGGG
RNAcentral lists this ribosomal RNA (412 nucleotides) under uncultured prokaryote. RNAcentral describes it as "bacterial SSU rRNA". It matches the Rfam family "Bacterial small subunit ribosomal RNA", at positions 505 to 918 of the family's 1533-position model. The record is from RNAcentral.